Molecule: non-coding RNA, 1248 nt
Organism: Heterocephalus glaber (naked mole-rat)
Lineage: Eukaryota; Metazoa; Chordata; Mammalia; Rodentia; Bathyergidae
Source: RefSeq, a predicted model, not a curated record
UUAUGCUUCUGUUUAUUUGUGUCGUGUGUCCCAGACUAAGCACUAAAGACCACAAUUCAGAAAUGCCAACAGGUAUAGACAAAAACAGCCCAACAAAAGCCUGCUCUUUCAGCCCAAGCACCAGGUAGGACGGCAGCAACAGGGAAACAGCAAACACUUGUGGGUCCCAGCUCCACCCACUGUGAGGUCACAGCGCAAACCAGGGACACCCAGCCCCACCCUAUCAGGGAGCAAAGGCAGAGAGCCUGCAUUCCAGCCCCACCCAGCAGCAGGUUCUCUGGGGCCUCUGGGGAGCUCUCACCACAGCAGUAACAAGGAGCCCCUCCCAGGCAUCCUCGGCCCAUCCUUGAGAGGAAGCCUGGCCUGCUCUGCCCACAGACCUAGGAAAGAUCAUGUCUCCCCACUCCUCCCUAAGCAGCCCACUUGCAACUGAAGAGCACUCCCCACAGCAAGAACCAGGACAGUCUCCUUUCCAAAGUGACAGGAGCCACCGCCAAGAUGACACAGCUGCUCCCACUAUGUAGCCCAGGCUGGCCUCGAACUCUCAGCAAUCCUGCCUCAGCCUCCCAAGUGCUAGGAUUACAGGCAUGGGCCACCACACCCAGCUAGAGAUGUAAGGUUUCUAUACGUCACACAAACUGGUAGAAUGAUGACACCAGCAAACUUGACACAGAUCCUGAUUGGCUGAUCCACUCCUCCUGCCCGAAGUCUGCUACUAUGAUCUGUAUGUUUGUGUCCUAGGAAAAUUCAUAUGCUAACAUGCUGAUCUCCAAGAACAUAGGAGCGCUGUCUGUCUGCAAAGCAGGAAGCAGGCUAGCACCACACCCAGAAUCUACCAGCACCUGGAUCCUCCAGAACCAUGAAAAAUAAUUUCCAACUAUUGAUAAGCAAAAAAAUAAAGAGCAUUUAAAUUUAAUCAAAACCAACAGAAACUUGUGUAUAAAUAUUUCUGAGACUCAAAUUAGUCUUUCAAAGUAACUGGAUUGUGGUGGCUGCUAACAAUAUAUUACAAACUACUGAAAUGAGUUUAAAUGGGUGAAUUGUAUAGAAUGAAUUAUAUUGUGAAUUAUAUCUCAAAAAAGCUAUUAUUCAAGGAGAAAAGGUAAUUGAAAUGUUAAAAGUAUUGUAAAAAAAUUAAUGAGAGGGCCGGGGAUUUAGCUCAGUGGUUCUGCCGCCCGCCUUGAAAGCCCGCCCCCCUCGAAAGCGAAAGGGCCCGAGUUCAAUCCCAGGUACCAAAAAAAAAAAAAA